Triticum aestivum (bread wheat) is the source of this 126-nucleotide non-coding RNA. Lineage: Eukaryota; Viridiplantae; Streptophyta; Magnoliopsida; Poales; Poaceae. The record is from Rfam.
GGAGUACUCCCUCUGUCCUAAAUUACUUGUCGCAGAAAUGGAUGUAUCUAGACGCAUUUUUAGUUCUAGAUACAUUCAUUUCUAUCCAUUUUUGUGACAAGUAAUUCGGGACGGAGGGAGUAGUAU